AUGACUAAUCCUCAUACUUUCGCCGUUGGCAGUGUAGAUGUGAUCUUUGCCCCGGUAUUUUUCCUUCAUUGUGACCUUCUCGAGCUCGUUGGUGAUGUGGUUGGUAGCCCCGCUAUCAACGUACCAGUUGGUGUCGAUACCGUAGGAGCCAUCCGCAGCCGCAACAACUUUGUCCUCGUCUUGGGAGGAGUCCUCGUCUUCAUCGUAGCGGUACUAGCAGUCCUUUGCUGUGUGCCCGAGCUUGCCACAGAUCUGGCAGCGGGGCGCAUCAGGACGGGACCGGCUGGAGGCGCCGCCGCGGCGAGGCUUGGAGUUGAUGGAGCGGCCGUUGCGGGAGUUGGAGGAGCCGCCAGUGUUGCUGUUUCCUCCUGA
This 372-nucleotide ribosomal RNA is filed under the name Triticum aestivum (bread wheat). Its description in RNAcentral is "partial small subunit ribosomal RNA". Lineage: Eukaryota; Viridiplantae; Streptophyta; Magnoliopsida; Poales; Poaceae. The record is from RNAcentral.